AGCAGUAGCCGCGGGAAUACAGAGGGUGCGAGCGUUAAUCGGAUUUACUGGGCGUAAAGCGUGCGUAGGCGGCUUUUUAAGUCGGAUGUGAAAUCCCUGAGCUUAACUUAGGAAUUGCAUUCGAUACUGGGAAGCUAGAGUAUGGGAGAGGAUGGUAGAAUUCCAGGUGUAGCGGUGAAAUGCGUAGAGAUCUGGAGGAAUACCGAUGGCGAAGGCAGCCAUCUGGCCUAAUACUGACGCUGAGGUACGAAAGCAUGGGGAGCAAACAGGAUUAGAUACCCCGGUAGUCCCUGUCUCUUAUAA
RNAcentral lists this ribosomal RNA (303 nucleotides) under uncultured bacterium. Its description in RNAcentral is "partial 16S ribosomal RNA". It matches the Rfam family "Bacterial small subunit ribosomal RNA", at positions 507 to 809 of the family's 1533-position model. The record is from RNAcentral.